RNAcentral lists this ribosomal RNA (437 nucleotides) under Aphanarthrum armatum. RNAcentral describes it as "partial 16S ribosomal RNA". The record is from RNAcentral. Lineage: Eukaryota; Metazoa; Arthropoda; Insecta; Coleoptera; Curculionidae.
UCGCAAUCUUCUUUGUCGAUUAGAACUCUAAAAAAAAAUUACGCUGUUAUCCCUAAGGUAACUUGAUCUUUUAAUCUAAAUUUUAGGAUCAUCUACUUCAUAAAUUAAUGAUUCUAAUAAGAAAAAGUUCUUUAAAUUUUUCUGUCACCCCAACAAAAUAAUUAUUCUUAAAUAAAAAUUUUAUUCUAUUAAUCCAUUUAAAAAUAAAUAUAAAGCUCUAUAGGGUCUUCUCGUCUUUAAUAAAAAUUUAAGCUUUUUCACUUAAAAAUAAAAUUCUAAAAAAUUUUUCCUGAGACAGUCUAUUCCUCAUCAAUCCUUUCAUUCCAGCUUCUAAUUAAGAAACUAAUUAUUAUGCUACCUUUGCACGGUCAAAGUACCGCGGCCAUUUAAGCUAACCUCAUUGGGCAGGACCGACUUUAAAUUAUUUUCAAAAAGCC